Musa acuminata AAA Group (dessert banana) is the source of this 927-nucleotide long non-coding RNA. RefSeq lists it as uncharacterized. The record is from RefSeq and is a predicted model, not a curated record. Lineage: Eukaryota; Viridiplantae; Streptophyta; Magnoliopsida; Zingiberales; Musaceae. The transcript has 2 exons.
CGGAGCAAGCCAGCGUUCUUUGUUUUUUUCGUCUCGUCUCCCUUCCUUCGUCCGUGGAGCUUGGAGGAAGACAAGAAGACGAAGACACUGGUAUCUUAGGUUCCUGAUCUCUCCGUCUCGUCUAAUUUUACGAAUGUUUCUUUCCAUGGAUUAUUAGUUUCAUGGAUCGGCGGUUCUCGUUUCGGUAAUCCAAUGAUCGUCUUAUCCUAAAAGAAUCGUACAUUUUCAAGAUCUCAUUCCAAAGUGUAGACGAAGAGAAGACCUCUCUGAGAUCUCAGUGUCCUUGAUCUGUGCAUCUCCUUUAGGUUUACGAUCUGGGUUCUUUCUUUGGAUGGAUCAUUAGAUCGUUAGUUAAAUAGUUCUGAGUUUGGCGAUCUUUGAUGGCGAAUGGACUUUCCGAGUGGUUUUCUACCGGAACCCUUCUCCGAAGGUGAUGCUCGGGCGGGAUGGGUACGUAACUGACCACACUUUGAUCCGAACCACUUUGGUGCUUGGUGGGGCCCGCUCUCGGCUCUGAUACGCUGGUGAGGACAGGAGGAGGGUAUAGAAGAAACAAUCUUUUCGGAAGAGUGAUCUAGAAAAUUCCAUUAAAUCAACUAUGCGAGUUCUCUCGAGUCGUUUUGGUUGCUCCUCUUUGUAAAUAGAGUGAUGGAUGUGGUGGUAGCGAGGCCUAGGAUGGCGCGUUCAUCGAGGUCGAUUGGGCCACCCUCUAAGGUACUAAUCUUGGAUCGACUCUCUCCCUUUUCACUCGCUUUUGAGGUUGGUCUUUGGUUGUGUCCCUGCCUUUCUUUAGCAGUUUGAUCAAGUCGUUCUUUAGAUCCUGGUCCUUUAUCUCUGUACUUUGCGAUAGGUUUUGAUUCCUCUUCGCUUCUUGAUCAUGUGAUGGUUCUUGUUUCUUUUUUCUUUAAGGUUCUUGAUUUUGCAUUC